RNAcentral lists this unclassified non-coding RNA (200 nucleotides) under Thelephoraceae sp. RNAcentral describes it as "partial internal transcribed spacer 2". The record is from RNAcentral. Lineage: Eukaryota; Fungi; Basidiomycota; Agaricomycetes; Thelephorales; Thelephoraceae.
UUAAGUUCAGCGGGUAGUCCUACCUGAUUUGAGAUCGAACGGUCAAAAAGCUGUCUUCGCUGAGGAGAGACAUUUAUAAGCUCCAGCGAACCUCUGUCGCCAAAGGUUACUCGGCAGACAACCGCAAGCGUAGAUAAUUAUCACACCUGUGAUGCCACCGAACACUGGGAAAGCUGAUCAAUUUGAGAGGAGCUGACCAC